UACGGAGGAUGCAAGCGUUAUCCGGAUUUAUUGGGUUUAAAGGGUGCGUAGGCGGAUAUGUAAGUCAGCGGUGAAACUCACAGGCUCAACCUGUGCCGUGCCGUUGAAACUGUGUAUCUGGAAUGCGGAUGCUGUGGGAGGAAUGUGUAGUGUAGCGGUGAAAUGCAUAGAUAUUACACAGAACACCGAUUGCGAAGGCAUCUCACAAAGCCGUUAUUGACGCUGAGGCUCGAAAGCGUGGGGUAGCAAA
This 250-nucleotide ribosomal RNA is filed under the name uncultured prokaryote. RNAcentral's name for it is "partial 16S ribosomal RNA". It matches the Rfam family "Bacterial small subunit ribosomal RNA", at positions 524 to 772 of the family's 1533-position model. The record is from RNAcentral.